Molecule: small RNA, 81 nt
Filed under: Salmonella enterica
Lineage: Bacteria; Pseudomonadati; Pseudomonadota; Gammaproteobacteria; Enterobacterales; Enterobacteriaceae
Also listed under: 3 other names
Description: partial RtT sRNA
Rfam family: RtT RNA
About the family: This family represents a bacterial cis-regulatory element known as RtT RNA. The exact function of RtT is unknown although it is thought that it may be involved in changing the cellular response in relation to amino acid starvation.
Source: RNAcentral
GAGCGCAGCGAGAGAACGUUGCGUCAGCAACGGCCCGCAGGGCGAGCCACGCAGUGGCGAGUCAUCCUCUAUCACCGACCA